UAAAAUGCCACGAUACAAAUUAAAAUGAGAGAAUUAGAUAUCUAUGUAGCUAUAGCUAGAGUUUUCAACUCAGAGUAGGAAAAAAGCACAAUAAAUAUGAAUGAUGGGAUGAUAUUUACAUAAAUAUUGUACAAGCCUGUAACAUUUGUUCUUUUUUUUCCCCAGACCUGAGGACCGAACCCAGGGCCUUGUGCUUGCCAGGGAUGGAGAAACCCUGAGAUGAGCCAUUCUCGUGGCUGGAUCUAACUCCCUGGAUGUGGUGAUGAGUCUCUGCGUUGCCUCGUCCAGACAAACGCCCAACUUCAAGGACUUGCCAUGGGAGAAUUCUAGAAUUCUGCUCUAUUUCUGGAUAGAGCAUGUUUCCAUCAGGAACAGAUGAACUGUUUCCACACUUAAACUGUUGGCUCUUUAAACACUUAUCAGGGAAAAUGGAUGAUGGACAAAAGAGGCCAUGGAAUAAAAAAGGAGCUGAGGAUGGAA
This is a non-coding RNA of Rattus norvegicus (Norway rat), 480 nucleotides long. The record is from RefSeq and is a predicted model, not a curated record. NCBI's taxonomy places the organism in Eukaryota, Metazoa, Chordata, Mammalia, Rodentia, Muridae.